Molecule: ribosomal RNA, 253 nt
Filed under: uncultured bacterium
Lineage: Bacteria
Description: partial 16S ribosomal RNA
Rfam family: Bacterial small subunit ribosomal RNA
Source: RNAcentral
UACGUAGGGCGCAAGCGUUGUCCGGAAUUAUUGGGCGUAAAGGGCUCGUAGGCGGUUUGUCGCGUCGGGAGUGAAAACACUGGGCUUAACCCAGUGCUUGCUUUCGAUACGGGCAGACUAGAGGUAUGCAGGGGAGAACGGAAUUCCUGGUGUAGCGGUGAAAUGCGCAGAUAUCAGGAGGAACACCGGUGGCGAAGGCGGUUCUCUGGGCAUGAUCUGACGCUGAGGAGCGAAAGUGUGGGGAGCGAACAGG